CAGGGAAGUACUUCAAAAUGGUCGAGUAUGGCAAUGUGGAAGUUAUCAGUGAAAGUAAACUCCUUCGUUCUUUUCGACUUGAUAAUCUUGAAUGCUCCUG
RNAcentral lists this microRNA precursor (100 nucleotides) under Caenorhabditis remanei. RNAcentral's name for it is "block2981". Lineage: Eukaryota; Metazoa; Nematoda; Chromadorea; Rhabditida; Rhabditidae. The record is from RNAcentral.